Molecule: ribosomal RNA, 430 nt
Filed under: uncultured bacterium
Lineage: Bacteria
Description: bacterial SSU rRNA
Rfam family: Bacterial small subunit ribosomal RNA
Source: RNAcentral
GGACCCGCACAAGUAGUGGAGCAUGUGGUUUAAUUCGAAGAUACGCGCAGAACCUUACCAACACUUGACAUGUUCGUCGCGACUCUAAGAGAUUAGAGUUUUCGGUUCGGCCGGACGAAACACAGGUGCUGCAUGGCUGUCGUCAGCUCGUGUCGUGAGAUGUUGGGUUAAGUCCCGCAACGAGCGCAACCCUCACUUUUAGUUGCCAUCAUUAAGUUGGGCACUCUGAAAGAACUGCCAGUGAUAAGCUGGAGGAAGGUGGGGAUGACGUCAAGUCCUCAUGGCCCUUACGUGUUGGGCUACACACGUGCUACAAUGGUAUCUACAACAGGAAGCAAGACUGCGAAGUUAAGCAAAUCCUUAAAAGAUACCUCAGUUCGGAUUGCACUCUGCAACUCGAGUGCAUGAAGCUGGAAUUACUAGUAAUCGC